Molecule: unclassified non-coding RNA, 550 nt
Filed under: Hevea brasiliensis (rubber tree)
Lineage: Eukaryota; Viridiplantae; Streptophyta; Magnoliopsida; Malpighiales; Euphorbiaceae
Source: RNAcentral
AUGUUUUUUUUUUUUUUUUUUCUAACAACAUAUUUCUGGGAAUUGAGUGUUAUGUCGAGAUGAAAUAAACUUAAAUUUAUUAAGAUUCGUUCGUCAGAUCAAAACAGGAGACGAACCCAAUCAGCAUAUUCUGUUUUCAGUAUAUUGAGAAUCUUGUCCCACAUUGAUCCUGACAUGAAUAUAUAAAGUGAUUCAUAUAUUGGAAUAUUAAUUUAUGACGUCACUGUCGCACUCCGAUUUCACUCUUAUUGGUUGGAAAGUAUCAACUCUAGUGCCAGAUUAACCUAACGUAGGGUUAAUGUCUCUUCUUAAUUAAAGUCUAAUUAAGCCUGAUUUACUUGUUAAAAACAGGAACAGUCUCUAGUUGUGUUAGAAGUUUCCAAGUUCAUUUUUACACUCACUAGCCAUCAACCAGUAGGGUUUGCUUCGCUCUAUCUCAAAUUAAUUGCACCUGCUUUUUCUUAGCUUUCCUGUUUCUACGAGUAAUCAUGUCGUUGAGACCCAGCACCAGAACCGAGGUUCGCCAGAACCGUUACAAGGUCGCUGUCGA